This 1408-nucleotide long non-coding RNA is filed under the name Fukomys damarensis (Damara mole-rat). Its description in RNAcentral is "lncRNA (ENSFDAG00000027330.1)". The record is from RNAcentral. Lineage: Eukaryota; Metazoa; Chordata; Mammalia; Rodentia; Bathyergidae.
CCAGCUCCAGCCACGUUAGGGCCUCUCAGACCAACCUCCCACCAGUGCCCCUCCUGGGCCCUUCUGCGCGGGGCACCAGGCCGCAGGAUGAGCAGACCCAAGUGGCUGGUGGGAGGGCUCUGGGAGCACGGACACUGCGCCAGAAUGCCACUCCUAGGCAAGACGGGGAACACGACUUCCCAGUUCCCCAGAGAGCGGAAGUGAGAUCCUGGGAGACCGCCAGCUCCAGAGCCUGCUUCACCAGCAGAGCUGGACGAGACUCGAGGCCACCUGCUGGACCAGCUCGGGGACGUACUGGCCAAGGGCAUCCCCAGGGGAGCCAGGUCCACAGGAGGAAGCGUGGCUUCUGGCUGCUGCCCCUACCAACCGGGCACUGGAGCUCUGAGGGGCGAGGACAGCGCUACCUCAGAGACUAACCCACAACUCCAGGCCGGACGCCCAGGACCCACACGGAGAGGUGCGAAGUGGCAGCUCUGGCCCCCAUCCAGAAAGCACAGCGUGGGCUUGGCACAGACGCCACCUCGCCGUGCACGCGUGUCAGCCUGGAAGACCCGGGACGCCACAGCAGCCUCCCAGCACGGCGACCCCUCACAGGCCGUUCCUCCACCCACUCGCUCACCCACUGCCUCACCCCCAGAUGGCCGUGCCCAUCAAGAUGAGAGGCCCAUCAAGCCCUCUCCCCUGCUCCUGCACACUUCCCGCUCCCCUCACCGAGACCUCUCUGCUUCCUUCCAGCCAGCUCCUCUAGUAAACUCAACACCGCGUGUGCCCUGGGUCGCCUGGCCCCAGGCCUCUCCCAUCGGCACGGCCACGCGUGCUGUGGUGAAGCUGCAGCUCUGAUGUGCACGCUCACACGGCACCUGUCCCUGUGCACCACAAGGGAGAACACACCAUCCACAACCACUGGCUCCCUCCGUCUUCAGCAGGAACCUCAGAGGGCUGCAGGCCUGGCCCACCUCCCCGACGAGCCCUGGUGAGUUUUCCUCACUGGUCUUCUCAGCUUCCCAACUCUGCACUGCUGUCCUCAUCCGACCAGUGUCUCGAUCCCCGCAUCACUGAGAAAACUCCGGCCUUCCUGCCCGUGGGGCACUUCCCACAGGAUACUUUCUGUGUGCCCAGCUCCAACGCCUCUGCCCCAUUUCGAAGGCCAGCACCCUCCCUGCCGGGCGCAGACGUCCUCGGGGCUCCAGUCUCGGUCUCCGCACCCCUCUUUCCUGCUGCAGUGGCCCGGGAACGUGCCGCAUUUCUCCCCAGUGACAAAUGAGCUCUCUGGAACCCUCCACCCUGACACCUUCCUGUCCGUCUUGUAGCAAACUUUCCCGAAGCGCUGUGCAAGCUUGCUUUUCUAACUCCCACUUCGUGCUUUCGGUCAGACCCACUGCAGUAAAACACUUGCCUUCGUGACGCC